Molecule: ribosomal RNA, 320 nt
Filed under: uncultured bacterium
Lineage: Bacteria
Description: bacterial SSU rRNA
Rfam family: Bacterial small subunit ribosomal RNA
Source: RNAcentral
AGCGAACGUUUGCGGCGGGCCUAACACAUGCAAGUCGAACGGGCAGUCCCUUCGGGGCUGUCAGUGGCGCACGGGUGCGUAACACGUAGGUAAUCAACCCUCGGGUUCGGGAUAACACUUCGAAAGGGGUGCUAAUACCGGAUGCGACGGGCGUCUCCUCGGAGAUGCACGGGAAAGAUCCGCAAGGGUCGCCCGAGGACGAGCCUGCGGCCCAUCAGCUUGUUGAUGAGGUAAUGGCUCACCAAGGCUAAGACGGGUAGCUGGUCUGAGAGGAUGAUCAGUCACACUGGAACUGAGACACGGUCCAGACUCCUACGGGA